Molecule: ribosomal RNA, 383 nt
Filed under: uncultured bacterium
Lineage: Bacteria
Description: bacterial SSU rRNA
Rfam family: Bacterial small subunit ribosomal RNA
Source: RNAcentral
AGUGAACGCUGGCGGCGUGGAUUAGGCAUGCAAGUCGAGCGAUCUCGCAAGAGAUAGCGGCAAACGGGUGAGUAACACGUGAGUAAUCUGCCCUUUAGUCAGACAUAGCUUCGUGAAAACGGAGGUAAUAUCUGAUGAUUUCCUUUUGUUGCAUGAUGAGAGGAUUAAAGGUGGGGACCGCAAGGCCCACCACUAAAGGAUGAGCUCGCGUCCUACAGCUAGUUGGUAGGGUAACGGCCUACCAAGGCUUAUGACGGGUAGCUGGUCUGAGAGGAUGGUCAGCCACACUGGGACUGAGAACUGCCCAGACUCCUACGGGAGGCUGCAGUCGAGAAUAUUUAGCAAUGGGCGAAAGCCUGACUAUGCGACGCCGCGUGAGGGAU